AGUCAGAUGGCCACUGCAAGGACCAGGAACAGUCAGUGCUUAGAGGAGGUGCCCAUGAGAAACAUUGAGGAGCCUCUGCUCCAGGUCAGCCUUCCCAAGGCAUCACUGCCUGGCUCUGUGGAAAGAAGGGAAAAUCAGUAAAUAUCAGAAAGGGGAUCACUGAGAGGGAGAAUUGCAGGUGGACAAGCCUCAGGCAGCGUUCUGUGGAACCUGGCAAAUCCUGACCCCAGCUCCUUGGGGGCCCAGUUGAGGAUUUGUGGACCCCAGCUCUGAUGCAGACCAAAAGCCAAAGUGCAGGGACAUCCUGGAGCAAGGAGAUCUGGAGAGCACUGCAGGAGCAGCAGAGUGGCAGAGAAACUCAAAGCAAAUAGGAUGUUUGUUAAUUUUUAAUUGAACUCUGGGACAGAAGCCAGGUAUCUGACAGAAACAAGGAUAUGUUUCAAAAAAGAGAGGCCACAGGUACUGGGGAUGAAUUUUGAGCUCUAAAGUGGGUGAUAAGCUCUUGGCCGACAAUAGAAAAUGUGAGGCAAACACAUGAGAAAUGUAUUGCCUGAAAAGAGACAUUCAUAAAAGUGUUUGAACAAAGGGUAAACAUCAUCAUGUUGGAGAUCU
Long non-coding RNA from Zonotrichia leucophrys gambelii, 612 nucleotides. RefSeq lists it as uncharacterized. The record is from RefSeq and is a predicted model, not a curated record. Lineage: Eukaryota; Metazoa; Chordata; Aves; Passeriformes; Passerellidae. The transcript is spliced from 3 exons.